GCAUCUUUAUGUAACAUAACAUAAACACCUGUAGCGUUGAAUUAACUCUUACGUGUUUUAAGUUUUAUUACUCGCGCUUGUGUAUAUCACUGGAAUAUCGAAUAAAGUAUCGGACGAUCGUUGUAGUUCGAGAAGAGUAGCAGAACAAGACAGCAGAAUUCCAGCGAGAAAACGGCAUUCGUCAAAAUAAUUUCACAGGUAUUCGUCAUCCAUUCUGUCCCAAAGUUUUCGCAAAUAUGUUGUAAUAGUGCUUUUUGGUAUAUCUGGAUAAUCUUUCUCUAACAGAAUUAAAUUAUUUUCAUAAUAAAUUCUAAAUACAAACUCA
Solenopsis invicta (red fire ant) is the source of this 325-nucleotide long non-coding RNA. RefSeq lists it as uncharacterized. The transcript has 2 exons. The record is from RefSeq and is a predicted model, not a curated record. NCBI's taxonomy places the organism in Eukaryota, Metazoa, Arthropoda, Insecta, Hymenoptera, Formicidae.